CUCCUGUGUCAUCGCUAGCUAGCUUCUUUGCUAGCUAAAUGAAUCUUCGCUUCGAAUGAGGACUGCAACAGGAGGAGUUUCUUGUGUGGUAGAGUGCUCGUCUCCCAAUCUGAAGGUUGCAGGUUCGAUCAUCCGACCUCCAGUUGUCAUGUCGAAGUAUCCUUGGGCAAGAUACCGAACCCCCAGUUGCUCCUGAUGCUGCAUCAUCAGUAGGCGGCAUGCUCUCAGCAACCAGCAGUUGAAACACAGUGAGGGCCAGCAACACAGUCACCCCCAGGGACACCUUCUCCCCCGAGUCGGCAGGGAGGUAGAAGCCCAGUGGCGCCAGGAACGAGAUGAGAAAACAAGGCAGGAGCAGGUUGAAGAUGUAGAAGGACGAGCGACGCUUCAGGAGCAGGGUGUAGGUGACCUCGGUGUAAGGAUCAGAGCAGCAGCCGUACAUCAUGACGUUCCUCACUGCCGGCAUGCCGUGGCACUCCCACUCCACAUUCUCCACAAAGUCAGACAGGUCGCCGCUGUCCAUCCCCAAGCUGAUGUCCACCUGUGUGAAAGACCACUGGGGGAUGACUUUUUUUUUCAUCUGGUUUCACAUGAUCCACAUUCAUUUGCCUCUUCUUCCUCACCUGGUUCCCAUUGUAGGUCCAGGAGCCAAAGGUGAGGUUGCACUGCUGCCAGUCAAAAGGAAAGUAAGAAACAUCCACCACACAUGUACUCUUUGUGAUGGCAGGAGAGUCCCAGACAAUCUCCCCAUUGUAGCGCAGCUUCACAUUGGUGUUGGAUGGACCAGAUGAUUCUUCAUCUGCUCUGCACACAUUAGACCCGAGUCAGAUGCAAACACACCUUCUUUCAAGUACACUUGAUUAUACUAUCCAUGCACAGUGUCUCCAUAGUACUUGUUUUUUAUGUUCAUCUACUAACUUGUUAUAAAGGACAAUGUCUGGCUUCCAAACCAAGUCGCUGGGAAUGUUGAUCAUCUCCAGAUCAUCGUAAUCCUCCUUGUUCCACUUCAGGUUGGCAUCGUGCCACACCUGUCUGAUCCACAGAUAGGUGGUCAGCACCUGGUUUCUCUCAUCCUUCAUAAACAAACACAAUAUGUAUUCUGGGUCACAUUUGAGACUUUUAACUUGAAAUUUCUUUCAAGAUUCCAACAUAUAGUAUCUCACAAAAGAGCGUACACACGUCAAAUUUCAGCAACUAUUUAUUAUAGCUCCUCAAGAGACAGGGCUAUAGCAGUGAGCAAGAUGCAGAUACUAAGAUAAAUAUCUAAUGAUCUUUUAGUUUUGGAUUAUUACUUUUUAAUUUUACUAGUCUGUGCAGCACUUUGGAAACUCUGUUUAUAAAAUGUGCUAUAUAAAUAAAGUGGAUUGGAUUGGAAAUAUGUGGUGCAAGUGUCAUAGUUAAUGUAAGGUACUUGUGCAAGGCACUUGUAUUGCCAGAGAUUUAGACCAUAAUUGUAAAUCUAUACUGCUAUACAAGCUGUACAUUGACUACUCUAAAGUAUAUGCAAAUGU
Molecule: long non-coding RNA, 1511 nt
Organism: Doryrhamphus excisus (bluestripe pipefish)
Lineage: Eukaryota; Metazoa; Chordata; Actinopteri; Syngnathiformes; Syngnathidae
Source: RefSeq, a predicted model, not a curated record